Molecule: non-coding RNA, 4012 nt
Organism: Theobroma cacao (cacao)
Lineage: Eukaryota; Viridiplantae; Streptophyta; Magnoliopsida; Malvales; Malvaceae
Source: RefSeq, a predicted model, not a curated record
ACCACUAAAUCAUUCAUAGUUCACCUCUAGCCGCAGCGGAAGUGGUCGCAAGGCCUACCAAAGUGCGGGCUUUUGUCCACGGAGCGUCUUGGCGUUUGGAUGACUAACCCCUUCAAACGCAGUUAAAAACACAGGACACAUGAGGUGAUUAUAAUAACGGAGCAAAAAAGCGGGGCGCCGGAGCGGGCAGGGAUUUCUAUUCUUAAAUAACAGCGCUUUUCGUUUUCAACCAGUGCGUUUAGCCUUUUUCAAGUGAAAACGCUCUUCUUGUUCCUUCUUUUUGCGGUGAAUAAUUAAAAUUACUUCACCUUCUGCGAUCUGAUACGCAAAGUGGGCUGUAAUUAAUGAAAACCAUCAUGCCAUCAUCUGCUUUGAGGCGAUCCAUAUCAACUUUGUCUCACCUCUGCGAGCCAAUCAAGCAAACAGAGAAUGAGAUAGUGCAAAUGUUCCAGUUGCCUAGUCCAAAGAAGGAAGCUCAGGACUUGGCUGUUAAGAGGAAGAAACCCUCUGUACGGACAUUGGAUGAGAGGUUCAUAAGAAUUUUGAAAAUAUUUAAGUGGGGUUCUGAUGCAGAGAAGGCAUUGGAAGUGCUCAAGUUGAAGGUGGACCAACGGUUGGUUCGUGAGGUUUUGAUGAUAGAUGUAGAGAUCAAUGUUAAAAUCCAGUUCUUCAAGUGGGCAGGGAAAAGAAGAAACUUUGAACAUGACUCUACCACCUACAUGACUUUAAUUCACUGUUUGGAUGAAGCAGGACUUGUUGGUGAAAUGUGGAAGACUAUCCAAGAGAUGCUUCGAAGUACAUGUGCUAUUGGCCCGGCUGAAUUGUCUGAAAUUGUGAGAAUAUUGGGCAAAGCUAAGAUGGUGAACAAGGCACUCUCCAUUUUUUAUCAGAUUAAAUGUCGCAAGUGCAAGCCAACAUCAAGCACUUACAACAAUAUAAUCUUGAUGUUGAUGCUAGAAGGGCACCAUGAGAAAGUUCAUGAGCUCUAUAAUGAGAUGUGCAAUGAGGGUAACUGUUUACCAGACACAGUGACCUACAGUGCACUGAUAUCUACUUUCAGUAAGUUGGGUCGUCAUGAUUCUGCCAUUAGGUUGUUUGAAGAGAUGAAGGAGAAUGGAUUACAGCCUACGUCAAAGAUUUAUACAACCUUAAUUAAAAUCUAUUUUAAGCUAGGUGAGACUUGGAAAGCUUUAGGUCUAGUUCAGGAGAUGAAAGGAAAGGGCUGUAAGCCAACUGUUUUUACUUACACAGAGUUGAUAAAGGGGCUUGGAAAAGCUGGGAGGGUUCAAGAUGCCUAUGGUAUAUUCAUGAAUAUGUUAAAGGAAGGUGGUAAGCCUGAUGUUGUGCUUAUUAACAAUAUGAUUAACAUCUUGGGCAAAGCAGGUCGAUUGGAAGAUGCUUUUAAGCUUUUCAAUAAAAUGAAGUCUUGGCAGUGUAUACCAAAUGUUGUAACAUAUAACACUGUAAUUAAAGCUUUAUUUGACUCCAAAGCCCCAAGUUCUGAGGCAUCUUUAUGGUUCGAGAAGAUGAAGGCAGAUGGUGUUGUUCCCAGCUCAUUUACUUAUUCAAUUCUUAUUGAUGGUUUCUGCAAGACAAACAAAGUUGAGAAAGCUUUAUUACUCCUGGAAGAGAUGGAUGAAAGGGGUUUUCCUCCUUGUCCAGCUGCAUAUUGUAGCCUGAUCAACAGUCUUGGAAAGGCAAAACGAUAUGAAGCUGCCAAUGAGUUAUUUCAGGAAUUGAAAGAGAAUUGUGGGUGUUCAAGUGCUCGGGUGUAUGCAGUGAUGAUAAAACAUUUUGGAAAGUGCGGCCGUUUGAGUGAUGCUGUAGAUCUUUUCAAUGAGAUGAAGAAACUGGGAUGCAAUCCUGAUGUUUAUGCUUAUAAUGCUCUCAUGUCAGGGAUGGUAAGGGCUGGCAUGAUAAAUGAAGCUCAUUCCUUGCUCAGAACCAUGGAAGAAAACGGUUGUGCUCCAGACUUGAAUUCUCAUAAUAUCAUUCUAAAUGGCUUAGCUAGGACAGGUGGCCCAAGGCGGGCAAUGGAAAUGUUUAUGAAGAUGGAGAAUUCAAAUAUUAAACCUGAUGCAGUAUCUUACAAUACUGUCCUUGGCUGCCUCAGCCGAGCUGGUAUGCUUGAAGAGGCUGCAAAGUUAAUGAAAGAGAUGAAAGCAAGAGGUUUUGAAUAUGAUCUCAUCACUUACUCAUCGAUACUUGAGGCAGUUGGCAAGAUUGAUGAAGAUCGUAGUCUAAGCACUUUCUGAUGGAGUCCUGAUGUUAGGUAAGAUAAAGGCAUCUUUCAUAUUUCUCUCUUACCUUUUUCCAACUAUCGUUUGGUUUUUCUGUCACUUCCAUAUUUUAAAUUAUUCGUUGGACUUUUUUGAAGAAAUGCUAAACCAAAGGAUGCUAUCUGAAUCAUUGAUGCAUAAUGUUCUUAUUACUCAUAUUUUCUGGAUAGCGUUUCUGGUGCAGACAAUCAGUUUGCUAUUAACUGUCUUAUCAUGCAGUGACCAACUUAUUUAUAGAUGAUUCUACCCUUGGCUAACUGCCAUAGCAAGGUCAUUUAGUUCUAAGCUAAGUGGAUUCAAUAUACAAUUAUCAAGCUGCAGUUAUGGGAAUUGGCUAGAUGUAAACCAAGCAAUAUGACUAGAAACCACAGGGGAAGCAGGCAUGGGGCUGAAAUAGGCUUUAGAAUCAGUAAUUCAUAGAGAUUGAAAACCAAAUCAUGUGGGCAAACUCUUCAACCUGUAACUUUAAUUCUCAAAUUAAUCUUGUAACAGUUUUGUCAAAAUAUCUCAAAUGUUAAUCAUCACAAGCUAACUAUUUAGUCUGACAUUUGCAUAUAAUAGCUAGCCUAAGAACAAGAUUAUUCAUUGAAGAUAUGCCUGAUGAAGAGGGUUGGCUUUAACAGACUGAAGGAGCAGACCUGUGCAAACUGAUGAUGCUUUUAUAGGUUCCUCUAGAUCAACUAUUCGACACUUUCCCAUCCUCUUGGUUGAGGCUCCAAAGAAAGUGAAGAGAACAAAUAUCCAAGUUGCAGAGUUAACUUCAGACAUGUAACACGAAGUAGAGUGUGAAAUGGCUCUGCAAAUGAUGGUUAUGGAAGAAUCUAGAAACAGAAAAAAUGCUGUUGUUGAGGGCUGUGGUAAAAUGCUGUCGGGUUAAAACACCUACUUUUCCUUUUUUUCUAAUAUCUUCUUUUAAACUAAUUAUUGCUCUCUAACUCUAGCUAAGUGACAAAUAUUAUAAAUUUGUUACUGCUCUGAUCAAGGAAGCUUUACUGCUAAGCUUCUGGAAGUUGAAUAUCAGCCUUAUGAAGAUGAGAUGAUGAAACGAAGGUUGCUUAUGUUGUCAAGCCUGCCAAGCUUGAGAAGGUAGCUCAUUUUCUUCUGAAUGUUAUAUCACUCCUUUUUGGAGACAAAACUGUAUGACUAUAGAAAUUGCAGAGAUGAGAGGUGUCUUAACUUUUAUAGCAAGGUGAGGUGAUCUUUUCAGCAAACUUUACACGUACACUGAGAUGGUGGAUCUGCCAUUUCACCUUGCUCAUCCUAUUAACAGUUAUGUGGAGGCAAAUAUAUCAGCUGAUCCCAAAUUUGAUCACAUUGUACUGGCUGCAAAGCAGAAAAUAAUGGUCUUUUUGGGUCUCUUUCUUUUGCUGCCUGUAUCUUUUCGUCUCCUGGUCCCUCCUUAUUGCUGGAAAAUAAACCUGUUAUGAGUGUAUGGAAGCUGAGGCCUGGAGGGGAGAGGAAAAAUAGCAGCAGGAUUGCUCCCACUAAUAUCAACUCCAGUUGUCUUGCAAGCUUAUGUGAGACGGCUGAAGCACUUGACAGUGAAUGCAGAAAAACAUGGGUUACAUUUGUUAAAAAACAUAUACAUCAUGCAGAGAAUAGAGCUGUAAAAGUAGGAGUAAAGGAGAUAAAAGGAGAAAAUUAGAAAUUAUCUUAUUAUUUGAAAGAGAGGAUAUUGAGGAUUCAAAGUUAACAAAUUUUGUUUGAUCAUAUUUCUAUGCCAGUUUUGACGA